GUGGAUGUAGCUCAGCUGGUUAGAGCGCCGGUCUGUGGAACCGGAGGUCGCGGGUUCAAAUCUCGUCAUCCACC
This 74-nucleotide transfer RNA is filed under the name Elusimicrobiaceae bacterium. RNAcentral describes it as "tRNA-His". It matches the Rfam family "tRNA". From Rfam's summary of the family: Transfer RNA (tRNA) molecules are approximately 80 nucleotides in length. Their secondary structure includes four short double-helical elements and three loops (D, anti-codon, and T loops). Lineage: Bacteria; Pseudomonadati; Elusimicrobiota; Elusimicrobia; Elusimicrobiales; Elusimicrobiaceae. The record is from RNAcentral.